CAGUAGCCGCGGUAACACGGAGGGGGCUAGCGUUGUUCGGAAUUACUGGGCGUAAAGCGCACGUAGGCGGCUUGGUAAGUUAGAGGUGAAAGCCUGGAGCUCAACUCCAGAAUUGCCUUUAAGACUGCCGAGCUAGCAGGUGAGAGAGGUAAGUGGAAUUCCGAGUGUAGAGGUGAAAUUCGUAGAUAUUCGGAAGAACAUCAGUGGCGAAGGCGGCCAUCUGGGACAACACUGACGCUGAGGCACGAAAGCGUGGGGAGCAAACAGGAUUAGAUACCCGCGUAGUCCCUGUCUCUUAUAC
This 301-nucleotide ribosomal RNA is filed under the name uncultured bacterium. Its description in RNAcentral is "partial 16S ribosomal RNA". It matches the Rfam family "Bacterial small subunit ribosomal RNA", at positions 509 to 807 of the family's 1533-position model. The record is from RNAcentral.